Molecule: ribosomal RNA, 465 nt
Filed under: uncultured bacterium
Lineage: Bacteria
Description: partial 16S ribosomal RNA
Rfam family: Bacterial small subunit ribosomal RNA
Source: RNAcentral
CCUACGGGCGGCAGCAGUAGGGAAUCUUCCACAAUGGGCGAAAGCCUGAUGGAGCAACGCCGCGUGGGUGAAGAAGGUCUUCGGAUCGUAAAACCCUGUUGUUAGAGAAGAAAGUGCGUGAGAGUAACUGUUCACGUUUCGACGGUAUCUAACCAGAAAGCCACGGCUAACUACGUGACAGCAGCCGCGGUAAUACGUAGGUGGCAAGCGUUAUCCGGAUUUAUUGGGCGUAAAGGGAACGCAGGCGGUCUUUUAAGUCUGAUGUGAAAGCCUUCGGCUUAACCGGAGUAGUGCAUGGGAAACUGGGAGACUUGAGUGGAGAAGAGGAGAGUGGAACUCCAUGUGUAGCGGUGAAAUGCGUAGAUAUAUGGAAGAACACCAGUGGCGAAAGCGGCUCUCUGGUCUGUAACUGACGCUGAGGUUCGAAAGCGUGGGUAGCAAACAGGAUUAGAUACCCGGGUAGUC